This 17617-nucleotide long non-coding RNA is filed under the name Citrus x clementina. RNAcentral describes it as "Citrus clementina (C. clementina) long non-coding RNA (CCLE_LNC004260)". The record is from RNAcentral. Lineage: Eukaryota; Viridiplantae; Streptophyta; Magnoliopsida; Sapindales; Rutaceae.
AGAGUUUAGAAGGCAGAGAUGAGAAGUAUUUACCAACAGGGCCAUCGAGGGGUGUGAAUGGAUCCUCAUCACCCCAUAAAACUAGUACAGGUAUAGAGAUUGAUGGCAUCAAUUGAACUGGGUUUGGCCCUGGUGGGCCUGCUACAAUCGAAACAAAUGCAUCAAGUGCCCCUUCCUCAUUGGCAGGCUCUCGCAUGAACUGCAGUUUUGAGGUUGAUUCAUGAAUUUUGAGUAGCCAUUUUUGUAACAGGUUAAAAUGGCAUAUAAGAGGAGAAUAUUAAUACCUCAACCAGUGUUUCAUCCACAGAUUCCUUAUUUGCAUAAAUGGACAGUAAAAUAUUCCUCAGUAUUUCCCUACAGCACCAAUAUAUGCACAUCAUAGAGUUUUUUAAUUUUGAUUCUAGUGUCUUGGGAUAAUGAACAAUGGACUGAAUAGAGAGAAGAGAAAAUACCUUUGUUUCACACGCUCAAAUAUAGCAGAAGCAAUUGGCCUUUGCUUCAACAAAAAAUCAAUGAACCAAAGCAAUGGGAACAAUAGCUUGAUUCUCCAAUCAUCAACAAUUGCCUUGUUGUUCAUGCCACCAGCACAAUUCAACAGAACAAGCCCUCGAACAAGGGUUUGACUGGAUUCUUAUGGUAGAAAAUAUAGCAGGUUUAUCGUAAACCAUAGAUACCAAAAAGGAUAAUUACGUGCAAGUGUUUCUUUGCAAGCAAGUUGAAGAAUAUCUGAUGUCCAAGGGGAAGUUAAAAUAAAUAUACCUGAGGCAGCAAUAACACAAGCUAGGCUUCCAACAGAGUUACCUAUAAGCACAGUUGGCUUCUUAACAACUUCAUCCAAGAAAUCCAAUAUUAGCUGUAUCAGUGAAUCUCACUCAAGUUAGCAAGGAAAAUAACUAAAGGUCAAGCGAUUGAUGACAAAAGAUCCAACUUCUGGCUAGGGAACAUUGCAUACCUGAGCCCAUCCCUCCAUGGUAUAUGAAUAACCAGCUGGCUUAUCUAAAGCACCAAAUCCAAGAAGGUCAAUUGCAUAAACCGUGUAGCUCUUUGCCAGGGUGCCAAUAUUCCUGAAAUUACCUCAGAGAUGACAAGAAAAAUAUCAAUUCCUCACAUUAUUUAAUAGGAUAAAGGAAUGGUGCACAAGCAAAUUUUCAUUCCCCUUUUCAACGGAGCAGUAAAAUGAAUACUUUUUCACUAGAUUAAGAAUCGGAAAAUGGAAGAAGCCUAUAUCCAUAAAAGGGUAAUAUGAAAUGGAACCCUGAAACUCAGAUCACCGGUUUGUCAUCAUCUAGGUGCAAGGAAUAGAACUAGGUGUUAAUGCCAAUGCACCAGGAGAUAACGAAUAGAUUUACCUUCAUUAUUCUUUUGCUUCAUUCAUCUUAAUUAAUUAUUAGAAGUAUAACACAUAUAAAUGCAUCCCUGAACUUCAUAAUACAUAACAGAGUCAGAGAUAUUACAUACAUAAGGGAAAGACAUGCUCCAUACCAAAAAAAAAAUAUAGUCGAAAAUGCCCAGAACGUAAUUUGAAUUGAACUCACAAUAAAGGAGCAACGUUUUUAUGCACCCAAUAAUUAACCCGCUACACAAUUCACAACAAGAAAGAGCAAUAUUAUCUCGCUAACCUGCGCCAGUGAGGAAUGGAGGCACCAAAGCCAUGGACAAGGAGUAGAGGAGGAGAAUUGGGAUGUGAAUUUGGAGUUGAUGAAACCAAGUAAUUGAUGGAGUACUGACCCUUCCAUUUCCACAUUUUGCAACUCUCCCUUAUCUCAUUAACCUCCAAUUCCAGUGCAGCAGAAGCAGAAUCCCCUCCACUGCUACUGUUAGUAUAACUGAUAGUAACAUUUUGUCUCUUCUUCUUCUCCUUAUUCCUCUGCUGGAACUGCAACUGAAACUGCCAACUCUUAUUGCUCAAUAGGGGCAAGCGCAGGCCUUUUAGAUCUCCAUUUCCAUUUCCAAUCCUGAAUGUUGUUAUUGGAAUAAUGAAAGAGGGAGCCCGAGCCCUUACCAUCCACACGCUCAUUCUUUUCUUGCUUUUUCAAUUGAAUAUUUUCUGUGGCCUGGCUUGGCCUGCUCCUCCCCUGCUUCCACUAUUAUAUGAAAAUUUUACUGAAGCCCUUACCAUCCACACGCUCAUUCUUUUCUUGCUUUUUCAAUUGAAUAUUUUCUGUGGCCUGGCUUGGCCUGCUCCUCCCCUGCUUCCACUAUUAUAUGAAAAUUUUACUGAUACUCCGGGUGAUUGGUAUUUCCGUCCAAUAAUUUUUGCAAACUCAUCCCAUUUUUUAAAAAAUAAUUAUAAAACAUACAUGCUAUGCUUAAAAAUUUUCAAACAAAGAAGAACUUUGUAGAAGUAAUUAACUAAAUUUAUUUUAGUUUACUUUCUCCUGAUUUAGAUUAUUUUAUUAUAUUUGGUUACAAAGAUUGCUUUGUCAUAAAUUUAAAUUGAUUAUUUUACCCUUAUAAGGUAAAACUAUUAAGAAUUUACUUUAACUUUAAUAUUUUUCUAAUUUUGUACCAAACUCAUUGUUUCUAAUACUAUUUUAUUAGUAUGAGUUUUAAUCUUUACUUAAACUAAAAUAGUAUCUUUAGGGCAUGAUACUCGUGUAAAUUAUUGGGAUGUCAAUUUUAUGUAAUUUACCCAUAAAAGUAAAGAAAAAACAAUUAAAUUUUAUUUAAAAAUAUUAGAUUAUAAGCUAGAUACAUAAAUUAUUAGAUACAAUAACUCAUGUUUAUUAUGGUAAUUUAGUCGCUAUAUAUCAUAAUAAUAAAUUUCUAAAAUAAAACUUGUUUUAAAGUUUAUGAUUAAAGAUGGUCAAAAAACCCAAGAAAAAAAUCAAUAGAAGGAUUUAACUGAUUAACUAUACAAAAUUUUUAUUAAUUUGUAUUUUUUAAAAAAAUAUUGUGAAUUCAUUGCAAUUAGUUUCUAGAAGUAGGGUGGAUUUACAAAAUAGUGGGGUGCAAAUACCCUUACCCAAAUACUCCAUAAAAAGUAAAACUAUUACCUUUUUUGAUGUACUUCUCUUGAAUUUUUUAUUUCUAAGGAUAAAGUUUAAUUCAUUCCCAAAUAAAAUGAUAAUCUCUAAUUUGCUCUCAAUGUAAACUGUUGAGAAUCAAAUAAAACGGCAUUGAAUGAAGCUUUCAAAGACAGAAUCUACACUUGUCAAAGGAGUAAUCUGCACUUGUCAAAGACAAGAUCCGCGCCGAACGGAUUGACACAUUUCCUUCCGUAUUCACAUAUGUAAUCUUUGAAAAAAUGUAGCCUCUGCAUCUAUAAAUAACUCUCAAUGUAUAAUGCUUUAUUUAAGAAAUGAAAACACGUUUCUUCAUGGUAUCAGAGCCAUGAAUACGCUCAAGUUUCUUCAAGUUCCGCUGCUCUGUUUGUAACAAAAACAGAGGAAACCAAAUUCCUCCCACAACCAUUUUUCCCACCAUUUUCUUUCUUAAACCCAUUCCUACCAUUACAGAUAUCCAUGCCGAUCAAGAAACAAGCCACCCAUACGUAAAAAACUUGAGUUUACAAAUUUAUCAACAAUCCCAUCAAUUUUCCGAGAGUGUUUUCCUCAAAAACCAAGAGCACCAUCACAAUUCUCAGUUUUCAGUGAGGAAACUGUAAAAAUUUCGCAUUUAAACACAUUCCCACGCGCUCCCACGCGCCACCCGAAGCCACGGCCAGUCAACCACGCGCCACUGUCAUCAUUCACGCGCUCUCACGCGCUCCAGAGGUUGAAGAAGACGUCAGCCGACAUGUCGUUUUUAUCUCAGAAGUGCAGCAGUCAAAAAACGACGUGUCGUUUUUUGUUAUAUUAAAACCGACAUGUCGUUUUUAUAUUAGAGAUAAAACGACGUGACGCUUAGUCUCCAGAAAUGCAGCAGGAUUAAAACGACAUGUCGUUUAUAUUCCACCAUAACCGACAUGUCGGUUUGGCAAGCAGUAGUCAAACGACCUGUCGUUUUGUUACCUAAAAAGGUUAUUUUUUUUCUUCUUUCAAUCUAGACGGAAAAAAAAAAAAACAAAUAAAAAAACAAAAAAAAAAGAAAAAAAAAGAGAAAAAAAGAAAAGGAAAAAAAACAAAAAAAAUGGAGAAAACUCCAACUGAAUCUAGUCCUGUUGUCAUUCAAUUUGUUCAAUCUGAUGGAGUAUUUAAUGCUGGAAUUAUCCUCACUGAGACAAACUACGAUGUUUGGUCUCAAAUAAUGGAGAUGCAUCUUGCAGAAAGAGAAAAACUCUCAUAUAUUCGUAGCAGCACAAAGCCAUUUGAGGAAUCUUCAAAGGAAUAUGAGAAAUGGUAUAGUGAGAACCAAAAAGUAAAAAGAUGGUUACUCAUAUCCAUGUCUCCGGAGAUCAUGAAGCGAUAUUUACGAAUUCCUACAGCCUACGAAAUCUGGGAUGCAUUAUCAAAAGCCUUCUAUGAUGGAAGCGAUGAAUUACAAGUUUUCACUCUAAACCAGAAGGCAUUCUCUACCAAGCAAAAUGGACAACCACUCUCUAAAUUCUAUGGAGAAUUGGUUGAAAUAUUUCGAGAACUUGAUCACCGAGAUAAAGUGGUCAUGAAGGAUCCAGAAGAUGUUGUAAUAUACAGAAGGUCUGUUGAAAGAUUAAGAGUGCACAUUUUUUCUUGCUGGGCUAGAUGAAGAAUUUGACCAAGUUCGUGGAGAAAUUCUACGAAAAGACAUUAUCCCAGACUUAGAAGAAUGUUAUUCUCUGAUCCGAAGAGAAGAUAUAUGGCAAAGCAAACUAAACAAGAAGGUCGACUCAGAAACGUCUGCUAUGAUAGCACGACAGCAGCCUCAAAGGAAGUUUGUUGACAAGUCAUCACUCCAUUGCACUCAUUGUAGAAAGAAGGGUCAUACGAAAGAACAAUGUUUUGAAAUCAUUGGAUAUCCUGACUGGUGGGAUACUCGAAAGAAGAACACCAAGCAUGGAUCAAAAACUGCAGUAGCUGAAUCCACAUCCACUACAGAUCUUAGAAAAGAAUCUUCAGUGCAAAUCGCAACCUCUGUCAGUCCAGGUAAGGCCCUUAAAACUCUUACACCUGUUAUUAAUAGUACAUGGAUAAUUGAUUCUGGGGCAACUGAUCAUAUGACUUUUGAUUCUCGACAAGUUUCUCAAUUGAAACCAUCUUCACAAAAACAUAUUUCCACUGCAAAUGGAACCACAACCUCAGUUAUUGGGGAAGGAUCUUUACGACUCACAAAUGAAUUAAAUUUAGACACUGUGUUAAUUGUUCCAUCUUUAGAUUAUAAUCUUUUAUCUGUGUCUCAAUUAACCACUUACUUAUCAUGUGUUGUAAUUUUUUGGCCUGAUCAUUGUGUGUUUAAGGACAUCCAAACGAAGCAAACGAUUGGUUAUGGUAUUAGACGAGGCAACUUGUACUACUUGGAGAUGUCAUCAACAAACACUGGAAAGCUAAGCCCCGCACUAGUCGCAGAUAGUUCCAUAAAAAAAGGGAAAUCAGAAAUUUGGUUAUGGCAUAGACGUUUAGGGCAUGUGUCAUUUGGUUACUUAAAAAAUUAUUUCCUAGUUUGUUUCUGAAAUUUGAUGUUUGUAACUUUAAAUGUGAUGUUUGUGAACUUUCAAAAAGCCAUCGAACUACUUUUCCAUUGUCCUUAAAUAAAAAUCCAGUUCCUUUUAUAGUAGUACAUUCUGAUGUAUGGGGGCCAUCUAAAGUUUCUACAAUUGGAGGUGCUCGUUGGUUUGUUACAUUUAUUGAUGAUUGUAGCAGAAUGACAUGGAUUUUUCUGAUGAAAUCGAAAGACGAAGUAAACUCUUUAUUUCAAAGAUUUCAUAAGAUGGUGACAACUCAAUUUCAGACACAAAUUCGAGUUCUACAUACUGAUAAUAGAGGCGAGUAUAUGAGCACAGUAAUUCAACAGUUUCUGAAAUCACAAGGAUCUGUCCAUCAAACCACUUGUGUGGGGACACCCCAACAAAAUGGCGUUGCUGAACGAAAAAACAGACAUUUACUAGAAGUUGUUCGAGCAUCACUAAUCCAAGCCCACAUGCCAUUAUUUUAUUGGGGAGAAGCACUGGCAUCCACAGCAUACUUGAUCAAUCGAACACCAUCAUGCUCCCUUGGAUUCCAGACUCCUUUCCAAGUUCUGAAUGAUGCAAUUAUGUCACCAAAUGUGCCGAAUCUGCCCCCACAUGUGUUUGGCUGUGUUGCCUUCGUUCAUUUGCCGCAACAAGACAAAUUAUCUCCUCGAGCACUACGUUGUGUGUUUGUAGGGUAUGCCUUACAUCAAAAGGGAUACCGAUGCUAUCAUCCACCAUCAAGAAAAAUAUACAUCACCAUGGAUGUCGUUUUUCAUGAAGAUAUCAUGUACUACUUGUCAGAGUCUGAAUUUCAGGGGGAGUAUAAUGAAAAGGAAAUUCAUACUCUUACAUAUCUUCCACCUGAAGAAAGUCAAUCUUCCAUUGAGAUAGUAAACCUUCAAGAUACUGGAAAAGCAAAUGGUGAUGAUUCGCAGGCUGAGAUAUGUGAAGACACAUUUGGGGAGCACAAUAACUCAGACACAACUGCAAUCGAGAAUGAGUCACAUGAAGAAAUACCUAACCAAUCGUCUGCAGAGGAUGUUCCUACCACAAGUCCAAUCAGAAGAAUUCUUCCCCAACGUCAAAAUAGAGGUAUCCCUAAACCCACAUAUGAGCCUGACUUCUCUAGUAGAGUCAAAUACCCUAUGAGUCAUUUUGUGUCUAACCAUCGCUUGUCAGAAUCAAAUCAGUCAUUUGUGAAUCAAUUAUCUGCUGUAUCUAUUCCUAACAGUGUGCAGGAAGCUUUAAAAGAUCCAAAGUGGAAAGCGGCUAUGAAUGAUGAAAUGAGAUCUCUUCAGAAAAAUCAAACAUGGGAACUAGUUGAUCUUCCACCAGGAAAGAAACCAGUGGGUUGUCGAUGGAUCUACACUAUAAAAUACAAAGCAGAUUGCUCUAUUGAAUGAUACAAAGCAAGACUCGUAGCUAAGGGUUACACCCAAACCUACGGGAUUGAUUAUACUGAUACAUUUGCACCGGUAGCAAAAAUUAAUACUAUUCGUAUCUUAUUAUCAUUAGCAGUCAACUUGGAUUGGCCAGUGCAACAGUUCGAUGUAAAGAAUGCUUUCCUCCAUGGAGACCUGUUUGAAGAAAUUUAUAUGGAUCUGCCACCAGGAUGCAGUGGACCAGAAUGACUCAAUCAGAAAGUAUGCAAAUUGAAGAAAUCAUUGUAUGGGUUGAAGCAAUCCCCAAGAGCAUGGUUCGGGAAAUUCACAAAGGCUAUGGUUCGUUUUGGGUAUAACCAAAGCAAUUCAGAUCAUACCUUAUUCAUUAAAAAACGACAAGGUAAAAUCACUGCCCUUAUUGUCUAUGUGGAUGAUAUGGUAGUUACAGGCAACGACGAGGAAGAAACAGAGGCUCUUCAGAAGUACUUGUCAAGAGAGUUUGAGAUGAAGGAUUUAGGUGCCUUAAAAUAUUUUCUUGGAAUUGAGGUUUCUCGAUCUAAGGGAGGAAUCUUUCUGUCUCAAAGGAAAUAUGCCUUAGAUCUAUUACACGAAACGGGAAUGACAGCUUGUCAGCCUAUUGACACCCCAAUAGAAGAAGGACUGAAGUUUUGUAUUACUUCAGACCAAGUUCCAGUAGACAAAUGAAGAUAUCAAAGGCUGAUUGGAAGAUUGAUGUACUUGUCCCACACAAGGCCAGAUCUUGCUUAUGCAUUGAGUGUUGUAAGCCAGUUUAUGCAUAAUCCCGGAGAACAACACAUGAAAGCAGUAAUGCGGAUCCUGAGGUACCUGAAGACAAAUCCAGGAAAAGGAAUCUUAUUUUCCAAAAAUGAAGAUUACAGCAACAUAGAAGUUUAUACUGAUGCAGAUUGGGCCGGGUCAGUUAGUGAUAGACGCUCUACUUCAGGAUACUUUACCUUUGUGGGAGGAAACCUUGUCACAUGGAGAAGCAAGAAACAACAUGUCGUUGCCCGUUCGAGCGCUGAAGCAGAAUAUCGAGGCAUGGCCCUUGGGAUAUGUGAAGGGCUAUGGAUAAGUUUUAUCUUAAACGAUUUGGGCUAUCCAUCACAACAACCAAUACAACUAUAUUGUGACAACAAAGCUGCACGAGAUAUUGCUCAUAACCCAGUUCAACACGAUCGAACAAAACAUGUGGAGGUAGAUAGAUUUUUCAUCAAGGAGAAAUUAGAUGGAAAAAUCUUAGAACUACCGAAAAUUCGAUCAGAAGAUCAACUUGCAGAUAUUUUAACGAAGGCCAUUUCAAGCAGGGCAUUUACAAAAUUCCUAGACAAGUUGGGUAUGCAAGACAUCUAUGCACCAGCUUGAGGGGGAGUGUUGAGAAUCAAAUAAAACGGCAUUGAAUGAAGCUUUCAAAGACAGAAUCUGCACUUGUCAAAGGAGUAAUCUGCACUUGUCAAAGACAAGAUCCGCGCCGAACGGAUUGACACAUUUCCUUCCGUAUUCACAUAUGUAAUCUUUGAAAAAAUGUAGCCUCUGCAUCUAUAAAUAACUCUCAAUGUAUAAUGCUUUAUUUAAGAAAUGAAAACACGUUUCUUCAUAAACCUCAAUUUAUUCUUCAUUUCCGUCCAAAAGAUGAGGGGAAAUAAGGAAUGUGUUGAUGUUUUUUUUUUUGUUUUAAUCUUCUUAACAAUAAAUGGGGUAACUUGAUAUUUUUAUAUUUUUAGGUGAUAAAUUAAAGAUUUUCAUUUUAAAUUGGGGCCAAAUUAAAAUCUAUCAUAUUUCUAAAGGCACCACGUGAUUUGGCAAAAUAACUAUAAAGAUAUUUUGUUUUUAGAAAAUAUUACACGUCUCUUUUGAGAUACACAAACUCUUUUUUAGCUAAAAGAUUGGGAUUUGUGUGAUUAUUUCUGAACCAAAAGGUUUGUGUUUUAAAAAAAAUGAUUAUGUGACUGUAUUGCCUAAUCGAGAGGGUCAUUAUUCAAACACCAAUCACAUUUUUGUUUUAAAACACCCUUUCAUUUAUUCUUUAAGCUUCUUUUUUUUUCCCAAAAAAUGAUGAAUAGAUAUUGAAAAUUUUGUUUUCAUUUUUUAUUGAAAAAAAUGAAAAACACCAAAUAUUACUGCUUCCUUGUCCAUACUUUUUCGUCCUAUAUUACCUUAAUUUUAUAUCGUUUUCUCUAUUUCUAUUUUUAUAGUCCAAUUCUGAAAAUACACUAUUAGACACAUUUUUAAAUUGAAAAAAACCAAACAUAGUGCAUCAUUUUCAUUAUAAGCAUUAACACCUGACGUACACAUUCUCCAAAUGGGAUUAAUGGAAAAAAAAUGGUGACUCCUUCACAAAUGAAGUUGUACAAUUAGUUUGAAUUGAGUCGAUACAGAGACGUCUCCAUUGCGUCAUCCAUUUAACUGUCUUGUGCAACCUUAUUUGUACAAGUAGGAUUCCUCAUUGGCCAAGUAUAUGCAUAGUUGCUGGUUUAUUAACCCCAAAACACCCUCCACUUAAUUCAAGGUCUUAAAGAGAAGUCCAAUCUUACAGGUUCGUUAACAUUUUAAAGGUAAGUUUUAUCUUGUAACAUUCACACAAAAUUUAUAAUCAACUGGGGCGGAAAUUUUGAAAAUACUAUGAUUAGCACAAGCAUUUCAACAAUAAAGGAUGUAAUAAAAGCUCAUUAAGUUUAAACUUGAAAGGAAAAUUAGGGCAAGGUCAUUUCUUUAAAAAGAAUAAGGCAAGAUGAUGCACGGCAUGAAAUACCUGCGACCAAGCCUCAAAAGAUUCAUCAAGCCCAGUAUUUUGCUUGCCCUCGGCAUAAUUACACUUGGCUUCCCAAACAAAUUAUUGCUGGAGCUCGGACAAUGGAAGUAUUCAAUUUAACUACAUAAAUAUCAGCCGGAGCAUAAUUACACUUGGCUCCCUAACGAAUAAUGCUCGAGCUCGGACAGAGGGCAGGAAGAAUUAACUACAAAACCACCAGAUUUAUCGUGUUUUUGUCCUGUUAAUUAAUUGUUUUCAAUUAACACGGUAACCCGGCUCGGGUGUUAACUCUGUUUCUGUCAGUGCUCUGUUGAAUAUUUCUGUUUAAAAAUCAGCACUCGCAUGUAAGUAGUAUGGCAGCAGCAAAAUCUCAUGUGUAAUAAUUAGGCUAUAUUAGUUCUGGGUCCAGGAAUCGAGAUAAUCAGAUUUGGUGCAAAAGCUAUAUGUACCAAUUUAUGUAGCCAUGCAUAAUAUAUUCAUUUUUUACUUGCAAAUUCUUCCUUUUCACAACUUUAGGUACAACUUUUCCUUUCCUUUUGAAGGCCCACUCCACUGGCAUAGAGAGUAAAAAGAGUUUCUUAUAAAUAAUUUUAGGAGGAUGCUUCUGCCACGACAAGUAAUACCAUAAACAAAUGAUUUCACCACAUUUCAAGAAAGCAUUUAACUUAUGCCUCAUUUUCAUUCUAGAAAUUUGCUUGCCAUUGGCUGAUUGGAAAAAGUGCAUUUUAAGUGAUAGAUCCCUACCUUUAGCACGAAUAGGGGUUAAACAAAGUAAAUCCCUACCUUUACAUAUCAAAUAAAAGACUUUCAUAAUGUCUUUUAAAAUUUUCAUGUUUCAAAUGAAGAUUGUCCAUUAAAAAAUUACACACAUAAUGUAUGUAAAGCAAUUAAAACAAAAAAAACAAACAAACAAUCCAACCAUUAAUAACAUAAAACUUUUGUAAUUCUGGUAAAGUGAAUGAGAAGCAGAACAUACAUUUCACGUAAUAAUGAAGAUACUGUUGUGCGCGGAAUGCGGAAUCAAGCACACCAAAUAAUUACUGAAAAAUAAAGGACACAAGAAUUUACGUGGCUCGGUAAUUAAACCUACAUCCACGGAGGCAAGAAAGAAUAAUUGUUUAUUUAACAAUUAAUAGAGUACAAUAUUUGAGUAACGAAUCUCACUUCCCAGAAACCCAAAUAUACCCAGUACUCUCACACUCUGCAGGAAAGAUAAAUUCCCCAGACACACUUCUCUCACUUCUCUCAAAAGCUUAGAAACUUAUAAGCUUAACAAUUUUGGGAUGAUAUCAAAUGAAUGAAAUCCUUAGCUAUUUAUAGGAGAAAUGAAUUACUAUGCAAAGAAUAAAAUAAUAAUAAUAUAUUUUUAAUUAUUAUUAUUUUUCCAAAUCCAUCCCCUAUUCUCUCUUUUCAGCUUAGCAAAAUCCAAUUUGAUUUUGCUUCUCCAAAGCUUGCAUGCUAGCUGUUGCAAAGUUGGCUUUGGCUUUUGACUUUUCAACAAUUCUCCACCUCGGUGAAAAUUUAGCCAAAUCUGAGCCGACUACCAACGAACCCUCAUCCCCAAAGUGAUCCUUCAAUAAGGAUCCAGAAUGGCUGUGUCGAUUCGACUGCCUACGUACCCAAGAACAUUAUUCAUAAACAAAGAGCCAAAUAUGCUUUAAAGCUACUUAAAAAUAUGCCAUCAGGCACUGACGCAGACACUCAACAACAAAAAACAGACUUAUUAUAUUUGUUGCACAAAAGUGAAAAAGCAAAUACUCUUACUCAAGUAUUAUAUUUGUUGCGCAAAUAAGAAAGAAGAUAAUAAUUUUAAAUUAAUCAACAGGUUGAAUCUUAUCGUAAUACACACUAUCAGCUAUGAAUUAGCAUACCUUAGAAGUCUUGANNNNNNNNNNNNNNNNNNNNNNNNNNNNNNNNNNNNNNNNNNNNNNNNNNNNNNNNNNNNNNNNNNNNNNNNNNNNNNNNNNNNNNNNNNNNNNNNNNNNNNNNNNNNNNNNNNNNNNNNNNNNNNNNNNNNNNNNNNNNNNNNNNNNNNNNNNNNNNNNNNNNNNNNNNNNNNNNNNNNNNNNNNNNNNNNNNNNNNNNNNNNNNNNNNNNNNNNNNNNNNNNNNNNNNNNNNNNNNNNNNNNNNNNNNNNNNNNNNNNNNNNNNNNNNNNNNNNNNNNNNNNNNNNNNNNNNNNNNNNNNNNNNNNNNNNNNNNNNNNNNNNNNNNNNNNNNNNNNNNNNNNNNNNNNNNNNNNNNNNNNNNNNCACGAUUGGGGUUAUUAAACUGAAGUUGCAUGAUAACUCAAUUCUUGAACUCAAACAAGUGAGGCAUGUACCUAAUUUAAAAAGGAAUUUGAUCUCACUGGGGAUGUUGGAUCAGAUAGGUUGUGUUGUUAAGGUCCAAUAGGGUAUAAUAAGUGUUGUAAAGGGGUCAUUGGUUCUGUUGAAAAGAAUCAGGAAGAAUGGUAUCUAUGAGUUAGAAGGGACAACUGUGACAGGGAUGGUGUCAGUGUCAUCUAGCUCUAGUGUUGACAAAACUAGGCUAUGGCACUUAAGACUUGGACAUAUGAGUCUAAGAGGCCUUAAAGAGUUGUCAAAACAGGGGCUGUUAGGUAGUGAUACAAUUGGUGAGAUGGUGUUUUGUGAAGAUUGUGUCCUAGGGAAAUCUACAAGAACCAGUUUCAAGUCAUCAGUUCACACUACUAGAAGCAUUCUAGAUUACAUACACUCAGACUUGUGGGGACCUGCACAAGUAAUAUCACUAGGAGGUGCAAGAUAUUUUUUGUUUAUAAUUGAUGACUUUUCAAGAAGAGUCUGGAUUUAUGUGCUCAAGAGUAAAGAACAGGUGUUUGAAAAAUUCAAGAACUGGAAGGUUUUGGUUGAAAAACAGACUGGAAAAACAGUGAAGAAGUUGAGGACUGAUAAUGAAUUAGAGUUUUGCAACUAGGUGUUUGAUGAAUUUUGUGCAAAGGAAGGUAUUGCAAGGCAUAAAACUGUAAGAAUGACACCUCAGCAGAAUGGCUUAGCUGAGAGAAUGAAUAGGACUCUCAUGGAUAAGGUGAGGUGCAUGAUGAUUCAAGCCAAGCUACCUAAGAAUUUGUGGGCUGAAGCAAUCUCAACACAGCUUGCUACCUGGUAAAUUUGAGCCCUUCCACUACCAUUGAAUUCAAGACACCUUUUGAGCUCUGGUAUGGUAAACAAGCCAGUUAUAAAGACCUUAAGGUGUUUGGUUGUCUGGCUUAUGCUCUCAUAAGCCAAGGAAAACUAGCACCCAGAGCACAGAAAUGUGUGUUCAUUGGGUAUCCAGAGGGAACCAAGGGUUACAAGCUUUGGUGUACUGAUCUCUCUCCACCCAGGUGCAUAGUAAGCAGAGAUGUCAAGUUCAAUGAGGAAGCAGCAGUGGAGAGUAUUCAAAGAAACAGUGUUAGAGCUGAUCAAGUUCAUGAUGAACAUUUUGAGGUGGAGACACCUGGCAAUCUGAAUCAGAAUGAUAAUACAGAAUCAGCAGAAAGUGCUGAUGAUAUUGGAAGACAGGAGUCACUUCAAGAAGCUAGAUCAAGUAAUGGAUUAUCAGCUGACAAGAGAUAGACAGAAGAGACAAAGCAAAGCACCUAAGAGGUAUGGCUAUGAGAUAAAUGCUGAAGAACCACAGAAUUUCAAAGAGGCCACUAACUGUCAGUAUGCAAAAGAAUGGAAGAAACCUAUGGAUGAAGAAAUGACCUCACUGUACAAGAAUUGUACCUGGGAACUAGUUAAAAGCCCGAAGAAUAGGAGGAUUGUUGGUUGCAAGUGGAUAUACAGAAUCAAAGAGGGUAUGACUGCAGCUGAACCAAGGAGGUUUAAGGCUAAGUUAGUUGCAAAAGGGUACACUCAGAUGAAGGGUGUUGAUUUUAAGGAAGUUUUCUCCCCUGUAGUAAGGCAUGCUUUCAUAAGAGUGCUGAUGGCUAUAACAGCAACACAGAAUCUGGAGCUGGAACAGCUUGAUGUUAAAACUGCUUUUUUACAUGGAAAUCUUCAGGAAGAAAUUUUCAUGAGUCAACCAGAAGGAUAUGAAGCUCCUGACAGAAGAGAUUAUGUAUGCUUGCUUAAGAAAUCCUUCUAUGGCCUGAAGCAAUCUCCCAGACAAUGGUACCUCAAAUUUGAUGAGUUUAUGACCACUCAUGGAUUUCAGAGGUGCAAUUACAAUUGUUGUGUCUACUUUAAACAGCUAAGUCAUAAGAAACAUAUCUAUCUACUGCUAUAUGUAGAUGAUAUAUUGAUUGCUUGUGAAGAAAGGUCUGAAAUAGAUGCUCUAAAGACAUUACUUGGCACUACUUUUGACAUGAAGGAUUUAGAAAGUGCUAAAAGGAUAUUGGGAGUUGAUAUAAGAAGGAACAAAAGUGAAGGGCUGGUAUUUUUGUCUCAAGAGAAAUACUUGAAGAAAAUACUGAAAAAUUUUGAUAUGAAGGAUUCUAAACCUGUACAAGGCCCUUUAGCAGCACACUUCAAGCUUUGCAAUCUAUAUUGUCCAAAGUCUGAAGAAGAAAGACUUGAGAUGGCCAAUAUUCCAUAUGCAAAGGCAGUAGGAUGCCUUAUGUAUGCCAUGGUGCUAACUAGGCCUGACAUCUCACAUGCUGUGAGUGUUGUCAGCAGAUACAUGGCAUCUCCAGGCAAAGAACACUGGAAAGGGGUGAAAUGGAUACUAAGGUAUCUAAAGGGUACUUUGAAUGUUGGCCUGGUAUAUGGAAAGAACUCUGGAACAGAAGAAGGGUUGUGGGGCUAUGUAGAUUCUGACUAUGCAGGAGAUCUAGACAGAAAAAGAUCACUCACAGGAUACUUGUUUAUGUUGAAUGGCUGCCUGAUAAAUUGGAAGGCAAACUUGCAGCAUGUAGUGGCACUUUCCACAACAGAAGCAGAAUUUACAACUGCCACUGAAGCUGCAAAGGAGGCCAUUUGGCUUAAGGGCUUAAUCACUGAGCUCGAUUUAAAACAAGAGUCUGUACCAAUUUUCUGUGAUAGCUCCAGUGCACUGCAUUUGUGUAAGAAUCCAGCUCACCAUGAGAAGACCAAACAUAUUGAUAUCAAACUUCACUUCAUCAGAAAUGAAGUCUCCAGGGGAGUUAUCAAGAUGGUUAAAAUACAUACUGAUGACAAUCCCUCUGACAUGCUCACGAAGGUGGUUCCUGCAACUAAGUUCAAGAAAUGUUUGGACUUAGUUGGUAUCUGCAAAACCUGAUAUGAAUCAGUUGGUGAAUGUAUCAGUUGCAGGGUGUUUGAUUCAAGGUGGAGUAUUGUUGGCUGAAAGGUGAAUUCAAACACCUUGGCCAGCAAACGACAGCGUUUCCAGCAUUGUUCAGUGCUUCAAGUAGCUCACGUGAGAAGCACAGCCAGCUCUUAGUUCAAAACGGCAACAUAUGAGAUCGUUUUGAAUAUACUCAACUUAAUUGAGAUCACGAGUCUUUCACGUGAUCGUUAGCUGAAGCUGAGUUCAUUAAAUAACAGACUCAUAGCACACGUGUCAAGGAGCUGUAUGAUCUGGGUUGUUGAAGCUGUUACAAGACUGGUAUAUAAGCUGCAGCCUUCUGAUUUUGGAGGCAUCGAGCGUAAUAGAGAUUAAGGGAACUCUGAGAGGAAGUGUUUUACUUGUUCUUGUUCUUAGAAUCUCUAUAACAAACUUCUUGAAUCAUUCAAUAAAGCUGCCUAAGGAAUUCACUCGUGGAUGUAAGCCAUUGAUGGCUGAACCACGUUAAAGCUUGUGCUCUGUUUUAGUGUGAUUGGUUUUCUUGCUGGUUUCUUGGUUUCUGUGUUUGUAAUUAAUCUUUUUGUUAUGAGCUUUGUUGGGUUUAGUUGAUUCUCUGAAAUUGAUCUAAACUAAAACUGCAUCUUGAUUAAUCUUGGCUGAGAAACUUGGGAGGAUCUGGUUCUUCAUCAAAGCAAAGCCAAGAACCAGAUUCAACAGCCUUCUUUCCUGCUUUGCGCACACAACCCAUGACUAUUUUGUUAUUGAGCUUUGCAACCCAAAACACAUCUACUUAGUUAGGAGAGCACGUAACUUAUAAACCAGGACGCGCAACAAGUUCUUAUUGGUGGAGCUAUGUUGUGGGCCCAUAUCUCUAUCAAUGAAAAUAUGUCACUCACCCCGUUGGCGCACUGUAUCAACUCUCAUGUACAUAACACAAUCACAUUUGAAAAUUUUCUACUUUCUUAAAUCUAAAUUGUUGUAUAUGGGAAAGUUUCAUCAUGUGGAAGCAAAAGCCAUAAAGAGGGAACAGUUAAAACACCAUCAAAUCUUAUAUAUUUUAAUAAAUAUAUUUGCAUACUGAUUUUUUUUUUUUUUUAAAAAAAGAACAGGAUUGACUCAACUCAUUUGUGUUGUGAAUCCAUUUGCUUAAACAUGUAUGCACUUUUUCAAGUAUCUAUAACAAUUCCAUUAUCGGAAUGGUGCAUUUGAUUCCAUAGUUAACAUGGUAUCGUCAUAUGGCUAGAAUUUACAUUUAAAAAAACUGACCUGUAAGGAAAGGAUUAAAGAUGCCCGUGAACUUAUAUUUCUAUUGAGAUUAUUUUAUUUUUUCCAUGUGAAAAAUUGAACCCUAUUAACAUGAACAAUGUAAAUUACUAAAUCACCGUUCUCUAUUCUUUAGAUUGCUGUAUCUUUUUCAUGUAAAAAAUUGAAUCCUUUCAUUCACAUAUCAUUAACAUGAGCAAUAUAGAUUGUGCUGAAUUUGGCUUUUUGAAGCAAGUUAGACUUUUUAUCGAAUAAUUUGGUACAUUUCUUGAAUCAAUUUGGAGCUUCUGUAACACGUCAAAGAUUAGUAUCUCCUACAUUCCUUUCGGUGCCAAAAGAUAUUCAAGCAGUUGAAAAAGAAUUGAUAUAUACAAUGUAAAUACUAGAAUUGUUUGUCAUUUUACACUAGGAAUGAUAUAUAAUGCUUAUCAAAACUUGUUGAUAAGAAAGUAAAUUCCUCAGCAAUCAGAUGUUUCAGCCAACCAAUUAAGGAAGCAGCUUUACCAACAGGUCCAGCGACGGGUGUGAAUGGAUCCUCAUCACGCCAUAAAACUAGUACAGGUAUAGAGAUUGAUGGCAUCAAUUGCACUGGGUUCAGCCCUGAUGGGCCUGUCACGAUCAAAACAAAUGCAUCAAGUGCCCCUUCAUCAGUGGCGGCUUCUCGUAUGAUCUGUAGUUUUGAUGUCAAUUCAUGAAUUAUGAGUGGCCAUUUCUGUAAGAAAUUUAAAUGGCACAUAAGUGCAGAAUAUUAAUGCCUACUAGCGUUUCAUCCACAGAUUCAUUAUUUGCAUAGACAGUAAAUUGCUCCUCAGUCUUUACCAGCAGCACCAAUAUAUACACGUCAUAGUGUUUUUUAGUUUUGACUCUAGUAUUUUAGGAUAAUGAACAAUGGACUGAAUACAGACAAGAGAAAAUUCGCAUGUUAUAUAACACAAUUAAAAUAAAAUAUCAUUUUUCAUACAUUUUAUUCAUUAAAAACAUAGUAAAAAAAAAUUCAAAAAUUCAGUGGCGGCAAACGUCCUCUCUGGAAUCUUUGUGAGCAACACGUACGUGGUGUCUUCACUAAGUGUUGAAUCUUUAGCUUCAAAGGAAAGAAACAAAAAAAAAAGGGUAGGGAUAUUUCCAUCCCAUUAUUUUUGUAAAUUCACAGCACUUUACAACAUAAUUAUAAUGAAUUCACAAUAUUUUAAAAAAAUAAAAAUUAAUAAAAAUUUUGUAUAGUUAAUCAAUUAAAUCCUUCUAUUACCUUUCUUCUUAGAUUUCUUUGACUCUAUUUGAUCAUAAACUCUUAUAUAAAUUUUAUUUUUCUAUUUUAUUAUUAUGAUAUAAAAUGAACAAAUUGCCUAACAAACAUGAGUUAUUGUAUCUAAUAAUUUAUGUAUUUAAUUAUGUGAACUAAUAUUUUUAAAUGAAAUCUAAUUAUUAUUUUCACUACCUUACAAAUAAAUGAUAUAAAUUUGACAAGCUA